GGCUUCGUAAUCGAGUGGUAAGUAGACUUGCCUCUCAGCCUGGAGUUCCGGGUUCGAUCCCCGGUCGAAGACU
Molecule: non-coding RNA, 73 nt
Organism: Rhamnusium bicolor
Lineage: Eukaryota; Metazoa; Arthropoda; Insecta; Coleoptera; Cerambycidae
Source: the annotation of a GenBank genome assembly